UACGGAGGGAGCUAGCGUUGUUCGGAAUUACUGGGCGUAAAGCGUACGUAGGCGGUGAUUCAAGUCAGAGGUGAAAGCCUGGAGCUCAACUCCAGAACUGCCUUUGAAACUAGAUCGCUAGAAUUGCGGAGAGGUGAGUGGAAUUCCGAGUGUAGAGGUGAAAUUCGUAGAUAUUCGGAAGAACACCAGUGGCGAAGGCGGCUCACUGGACGCAUAUUGACGCUGAGGUACGAAAGCGUGGGGAGCAAACAGG
RNAcentral lists this ribosomal RNA (253 nucleotides) under uncultured bacterium. RNAcentral describes it as "partial 16S ribosomal RNA". It matches the Rfam family "Bacterial small subunit ribosomal RNA", at positions 524 to 776 of the family's 1533-position model. The record is from RNAcentral.